AUGUAUUUGCCAUUUUAUUCGAUCUCUAAACUGCAGUUGGAUUAUUAUGUCCACAACUUUUGUUCCUCCACAGCUUCCUCCGCUAGUUUCUCCGAGCAAUCUUGCUGGAAGUUGUGGUUCAUGAUGGUGAUGUUGCAAUCUCACCCUUGCCCUUACAUGCAGUUGCUUCAACAACAUUGUGUGCUUGGAAAGUUUCGGCUGAGAGGCUCACUUUCGGUGGUGGGACAGUGUGGUGAACUGGAAGGCAUUUAGUGAGAACUUCAGAUCCCUGUACAGGAUUCCUUACUCAAUAUCCAGAUGCCUCCAGUGUGACAGCUUGUACAAGCAUUAUGGAGCAGGCUACAGAGGGAGAGGACAAAGAGGCGUGUUGCAGGGGUUUUACUCCUCUGAUGACUUUGAGGACAACUAGAGCCCAGAUACAGGUCCCCUGUAAAGACCUUGUCUCAGAGGACCACCAGGACAAGACCACAGGAAACAGAUGAUUCUUCUGCACAAUCUGACUUUGCUGCAGUCUGGAAUUGAACUACUGGUUUCGUCUGGUCAGAGGAGAACUGACCUCCAACUGAACCUGAUUUCUCCCAAGGUUUUUUUCUCCAUUCUGUCACCGAUGGAGUUUCGGUUCCUUGCCGCUGUCGCCUCUGGCUUGUUUAGUUGGGGUCACUUCAUCUACAGCGAUAUCAUUGACUUGAUUGCAAAUAAAUGCAUAGACACUUUUUAAACUGAACAGAGAUGAAUUCAAUGUUUUAUUUAGGAGUGUACCAGACUCCAAAGAAGGCCAGAGAUUCCAAGUUGUCAUCCCGGCAAAGUUGAAGGAAGCAAUUUUAACUUAUGCACAUGACAAUCCUCUGAGUGGACACUUGGGCAAAUUUAAGACACUGAUGAGACUUUUAGAGUUCGCUUAUUGGCCUUCAAUUCGCACAGAUGUAUGGCAGCACUGCCGGAAUUGUCAGAAAUGUCAGCAACAUAAACAGACCAACUUAAAACCAUACAAAGUGUACCCCUAGUCGAGCCCGGUUAUAUGCUGGGAAUGGACAUCAUGGGACCAUUUCCCCGAAUCACCCGACAGAACGAAUAUCUGCUGGUUAUAGUGGACUACUUCUCAAAAUGGGUAGAAGUAUUUCCCAUGAGAGCUGCCAAAUCUGCUACCAUUGUGCGAAUAUUAAGAGAGGAAAUUUUCACGAGAUGGGGAACAUGUUACCACUAGCAGCCGCUUGAGGGCGCUAGAGGUAAUUGAUUACCGGAUAUAAGCCCCGAUCAUAGACGAGCAAGUCAGAUUCUUUGGUAGAGGGAAACCUCAUGGUUGAGCUCAUGGCUGGCUACCUUCUUUCUCACAAGUCCUGUUUGAGAACUGUUUAAGUUUACGCUCAAACAAGGACUUUUUGUUUGGCCUUUUUUAGACCUUAUUGGACUCUUUGGACAUUUGAUACCUUUAUUGUUCCAUGCUGCACGUGUUCUCCUCAUUUGAGCACUAUUUACCACACGAUCUUCUAUAAGCAACCUUGGUUUGUUGCUACAGAUCUACAGUGCUGCUUAUCUCCAUUCCAUUCUCACUGGUCUCACUGGAUUAUAACAUUGCAUCGUCCUCAAAUAACCGUUUGGAUUUUAAUCAUCUCAUCAGCAUCAUCAUCAUCAUCAUCAUCUGAUUCAUCUAACAUUGAACUAACAUGAUAAGGUUCAUUUAUUAUUGACUUUCCUUAAAUGCUCAUAAAAAUGCUCAGUUAUUUAUAUUGAUUAUCUAUCGUGCACUUGGGAAUAAAACCAAAAAGAGAAACGUAUUUGUUUGGUGAAGUGGUUUUAUUAUUAGUACCAGUCGAAUUCUGUGGGACCCCUCAGAUUGUAUCAUCUUACAUUAAGGGAGGUGUUACAACUGUUGGCAGAAGGACUUUAUCUGGAUUUUUCCAAUGUCCCACCAUUGGCUUAAUGAUUUAAACUGUGACCUUCUCUCUCGCCAAGCUCUCCAGAAAAGAGUAAAAGAGUGCACGAAAGAGUGAUCUUUUAACAAUCUACUUUUAAAGUGCCAGUAAGAUUUAUUAUGAGUAUUCAAUGUUGUGACCGUGACAGAGAUGUAGUGAUGAUCAGAUAGGGGUGUGGGACUAAUACUGCUGUUAAGAAAAUACUGUCUUUUAGUUUUUUGAACAUAGAUUCUAUCUAACCUGGCUCCAGAUAUAAUUUUUGAACCCAUCUUUAACCAUGUGUAUUGUUUUUCUUUAGGAAAGGAUUCUCUCCACACAUCAACAAGUGCAUGAUAUUUUAAAACAUUUCUAAGCGCUUCUGAUGAUUUUGGGUGAGGCUCAUCGUGAUUCCGAUCAACUGUAUGAUCAAUAGUGCAAUUAAAAUCUCCGGCUACAACGAUUACUCUUUCUUGGGGAAUUCCAUUAAUCACUUCUUGUAAUUUUCUAAAGCAUUCAAUUCUGUCAGAUCCAACGUUAAGGGCGUAAACAUUAAUGAAUGAAAAAGAUAAACCUUGCAAAAUAAUAUCUACUUGUUGCAUUCUACCAGGUAUAAUAUCUAUCAUACUGAAAUCCUGUCCUUGGAGUUUAGCAGAUAUCAGAAUAGCAACACCAGCACUGACAUUUGAUCCAUGGCUGAGAAAAACCUGCCCUUUCCACUCACUAAGCCAUUCUGUCUGGUUAUAUUUAUCAGUAUGAGUUUCCUGUAAAAAGAUUACACCUGUCUUCUUUAAAGUUAAAAAAUUAAAAAGAGCAAAUAUUUUCCCUACACUACGACAUCCAUUAACAUUUAAGGAUCCAAUGCUCAAGGAUGCCAUAAUUAUUAACAGGGAAAUAUUAAUGCAGCUGAGUACCAUUAUUGCAAGCUUCAUCCUAACCUGUAACACACUUUUUUAUUGCUACGUUGGAUCAUCUUUUUUACUUUAGUCAUAAUUUUCUUGAGACGAUAUCGUUUUUGUCUAUUGAAUUCUUCAAGAGUUGCAUUUGUCAUUACAUAUCUAGAAGAGGCAAGAAAGCUUUUCAAAUCUGGAAAAAACAUUUCCAUCUGGGGAUUCCUGGUGCCUUUAGUUUUAUCAAGGAAGAUACUAAUUUGUUUUACAGAAUAUAGUCUGGAGUUUGUAUCACUCGUUUCUAAAGAUCCUGCUUGUGAACCGGUUUCUUCCAUGUCAACAAAACUCCCUUCACUUUCACUUCCAUGAUCUGAAUCAUCAUCUGACAGAAUAUUAUCUGCACUUACAUUUGACCACUGACUACAUUUCCCUUCUUCAGAUUCAUUUUCAUGUCACAACACUUUGUGCUUCUGUGUCUUUUUGCGUUAAACAGGUAUUUUCCUCACUUUUUGACUGAGAAGCUGCGUUUUCUGACUGACUUACAUCAGAAAUCUCAGCUCUCUGUUCUGGUUGUUCGCCGGUGACGGUGUUUGUAUUUUCCUCUCGGUUUUGCGGCUCUGAGUUUGUCUCUUCACGCACAUUAGAGCUGUCCUCUCCUGCACUAGAUCUGGGGCACGUCUGGCGAACAUGACCAUGGUCACCGCAAACAUAACAGCGCAUCUGUUCCGUGCUGAUAAAGAUUGUGUAAUCUUUCCCUUCGAUUGAGAUCUUUAUCGCUAUUCUAGCGGGUCAUCUUGUGCGUUAGGUAUUAUAUACGUGAAUUGUUGGAAGGACAUGAUGUGCUUUAUGUCAGGAUUUUUGAGUCCUAAAGGGAUCAUCUUGAUUGGCGCAGUUACUUUACCGUAACACUAAAGUAUUUCUUUCAGAGUUUCAUCUUUUAUGAAUGGCGGUACAUUGGAAAUAGCUACUUUUUUGGAGGGACUAGAUAACAGCAGUAAUUGUAAAAACAUAUUGUUUACCUCAAGCCCUGUCUCGAUUAAUUCAUCAACCAUUUCAACUUCAGUGAGAAAAACAACACGUGCUUUGUUCAUCCUGGCAGCUGAUUUAAUAUUUAAACCACCAACCUUCUGACUGACGGCUAGCAGAACGUCUUCGAUGUUCAUGUUCUCCUGCGGCAUGCACUUGAAUCCGUGUUUGAGAGUUAGACGCGAAAAAGAGUCGUUUGACUCCAUUAUUACUCGCAAACCUGCGCUAUGCACUCUGCUGGUAAAUACUUUAACAAUCCUUACGUUCAAUUUAUGAAUGACUAUAAACAAUGAAAGUUGAAAAAGAAAAACAGAAAAGUUUUCCACGCAUGCUCAAGCACCUGCAGUCUUCCCGCUACCCACAAUCCCCUGAGAGAGAGAGAGAGAGAGAAAGAGUAAGGUUUUCAGAAAGUAAACAUGUAUAAACUCAUGGAUCUCCUCUCAGUCUGUCUGUCGGAUGUUCUCUCAUUUCACUGAGGAGGUGACACACUGCACUCUCAGUUCAGCUGAAACUAUCAACCUGCAUUGUGUAAGACGUAAUAUCCAUACCAUUACACCAUACAUCUGGUGAUAUUCAUGGAGAGAGUGAACAACUGUCACAAUCAGACAGGUGUUAC
This 4421-nucleotide long non-coding RNA is filed under the name Carassius auratus (goldfish). Its description in RNAcentral is "lncRNA (ENSCARG00000041234.1)". The record is from RNAcentral. Lineage: Eukaryota; Metazoa; Chordata; Actinopteri; Cypriniformes; Cyprinidae.